GGCCUCGUAGCUAAGUUGGAUAGAGCGUUGGUUGUACGAAAGCCUUACCCUUGCUGGCGUGGGUUCAAAUCCCAUCGAGGUCG
Schistocephalus solidus is the source of this 83-nucleotide non-coding RNA. The record is from Rfam. NCBI's taxonomy places the organism in Eukaryota, Metazoa, Platyhelminthes, Cestoda, Diphyllobothriidea, Diphyllobothriidae.